Clupea harengus (Atlantic herring) is the source of this 1079-nucleotide long non-coding RNA. The record is from Ensembl. NCBI's taxonomy places the organism in Eukaryota, Metazoa, Chordata, Actinopteri, Clupeiformes, Clupeidae.
AGGUAACUAAGGCAGUGGGUGCUGCUGAGGUAACUAAGGCGGUCUGAAGCUGCUGAGAUAAAUAAGGCGGUCUGAAGCUGAUGAGGUAACUAAGGCGGUCUGAAGCCGCUGAGGUAACUAAGCAGAAACUAGGACAGGCUCCUCACUCACCAAUAGUUAAUUUUUUUUGCAUAUUAUCUGACCAUUUUCACGUGCUGUAUGUGCAUUUAUCAAAACAAUUAGUACAAACACUACUAUAACACACUUAAGAUUGCUCGUGAAAGCCUGUAUAAUCGUGUAAAAUUCUUAGUUUACGUCAUGGAAUAUGUCCGUGCUAGCAGAAUGAAAGGUCGUUGUUGUUUACAACCAUAACCCUAGUUAAACUGCCAUGUCUCACACAUACGAUGAAAAGUAAAAAUAUAAAGAAAAGGUUAUUUUGAGAAACGGAAAGAAAAGGCACAAUAGAGAAAAAAAAAAAAAACAUUUAAAAACGAAUGAAGCCAGCCGUCAAAAAGAGAGUACACAGGCCGAGUUCAAAGGCAGUUUUCUCCCAGUGAUGGGGGUCACGACCCCACACCACAGCAAAAUAAGUUAUUCAGCAAGACAAAAAAAAAAGAAAGAAGAAGUGGGGGGGAAAGGAAAAGAAAAGUCAACCGCAGAUAAGCCCUCACUCAGCGCAAGCCAAAGCUCUGAGUCUCUAAAACACACACACACACACACACAGUGUGGUUUCCAGAUGACUAGUCCUCCGUCGUCAGGUCACGGACGUCUUGAAGGGAAGAUGGAGGACAAGCACUGAUUAGGGUCAAUGGAGGGAUAUUCUGUUGCCUCCCGUGGGACACAGACACAGGGCAAGUGAGUCAGCUAGUGAGGACAGAAGAUUGAAUGAGUCUGAGAUCAUAUGCCAGGUUGAGCUUUCCAUUUCAUAACCUUAAAUGUCAACUUCAGAGAAACAAUUGAAUUGAAUUGUUAUUGAGUAAAGCUUUACCAUAGUGCAUGUCUAUUUAGAAACAAGCUUAGUACAAACCAAUCAAAUAUUGCACUAUUGCACUACUACCCAUGUCACUGCAGAGGAUCAUGGGAUGUGUAGUUUUUUUUUU